RNAcentral lists this ribosomal RNA (200 nucleotides) under uncultured bacterium. Its description in RNAcentral is "partial 16S ribosomal RNA". It matches the Rfam family "Bacterial small subunit ribosomal RNA", at positions 28 to 216 of the family's 1533-position model. The record is from RNAcentral.
GACGAACGCUGGCGGCGUGCUUAACACAUGCAAGUCGAACGAAAAGACGGAAAGAGCUUGCUCUUUCCGGAAUUGAGUGGCAAACGGGUGAGUAACACGUAAACAACCUGCCUUCAGGAUGGGGACAACAGACGGAAACGACUGCUAAUACCGAAUAAGUUCCAAGAGCCGCAUGGCCCAUGGAAGAAAAGGUGGCCUCU